AGAGAUCAUGAUCCAAAGACUUUCUCCCAUUUUAGUGUGUCAAAAUUCCCUAAGACCUCAGUGGGACUCCGUGCAAUGCUCACACCCCAAUGCAUUACCAGAAUAGGGAUAAGGGCAGUUUUGAAGGCCUGCCCUCAAGUGUCUAUUUUCAGAGGGAGCUCAAAGGAUCCCAAGGCAAGGCUCAGAAGAGGAAAGCAGAACUUAAAGACUAAGAGAGAGUGCAAGUGCAGAAACAGAAUUCUAAAAGGGGAAAGGAGAAGGAAACAACUACAACUAAGUAUACAAAGGGGUUCAAGGGGAUAGAGAGAUUGUAAAGAGCCUAUUGCUUAGGCAAGGGCAGGGUUUAGGCAUGCCCAGCAAUGGAGAGUGCUAGCAUACUUAAAAGCCUUCUAGAACACAUUCAUAAAGGAUAAGAUCCCUAGGGGAUCAAAUUUUAUUCAUGGACAAUAAUUUGAAGUAUUGCCAUGCCUAAAACCAUAGCGUAAACACAUAGGGUGUAGAGGUUUGGGAUACAUAAUAUAACAGGCAGAGAGAAAUCUGUAUGCUAGAGUAAGUGUUGAACUAUAUAGAAGUAGUAAGCAGACAGAAAUAUCAAAAGCAAUAAAUAAACACAUUGUUAUGGCACUAAAAACCUUAAAUUAGGAUAUACCAGUUUCAAAGAAAAAAAUAGAGAAAAGCAGGUAGUAGGUCCUGUAAACAGGCCACAAUACAAGCAACAAGAGAGAAUACUUUUGAGUGUAAGUGUAAGUGUAAGUUCAUAAUGACUACGAAUGAUGGUGUGUGUUUGUGUCGAUGAAGAGCAGGUAUUUAUAUUGUGAAAAAUAGGUGAAAAGAAGGUAAGAAAAUAAUUAAGGAACUGGGUAUCAAUUAAAAUCAGUCAGCAUAAGACUUCCUUUAAUUAAAGAAUUCAUAAUUAAGCGGUAAAAUUUAUUUAAGGAAAGAAAUCAAAUAAGCACCUUGUGCAAAGUAGGCCAUUAGGGGUAAAUACAUAGGAGUUUAUUUAGGUGAAGAGUUUUGAAAUACACGAUUAGAAAAAAUAACGUAAGAAUCAAUUAGUACACAGUAAAUCAAGGGGUUAAAGGUUGAAACUACUGGCUCGUGAAUAAGCUAAGGAAAGUUUUUGAUUCAAACCAAGUACCAGGGAAAUCAGGAAACGAGGAAAGAAAUUAAUUAGACUUACACAAAGGAAGUCCGAUAUUAAUCAAAAUUUAAAGACCCCCUAGACGGAAGUUCAGCACAUAUAAAGAGCACAUAAGCGUUUGGCUUACGAGGCUAAAUUUAGAACAAAGAAAAAGUGUCAUGUAAUUUCAAAAUUAGUAAGUAGUAGACAAUAGGAAUAUGAUAGUCACGUGGUACUUCAACAAUGGAGAAGAGAGAGAGAGAGAGAGAGAGAGAGAGAGAGAGAGAGAGAGAGAGAGAGAGAG
RNAcentral lists this long non-coding RNA (1424 nucleotides) under Nicotiana benthamiana. RNAcentral describes it as "long non-coding RNA (NBEN_LNC007410)". Lineage: Eukaryota; Viridiplantae; Streptophyta; Magnoliopsida; Solanales; Solanaceae. The record is from RNAcentral.